Long non-coding RNA from Haliotis rufescens (red abalone), 773 nucleotides. RefSeq lists it as uncharacterized. The record is from RefSeq and is a predicted model, not a curated record. The transcript is spliced from 3 exons. NCBI's taxonomy places the organism in Eukaryota, Metazoa, Mollusca, Gastropoda, Lepetellida, Haliotidae.
CUGAUAAAAGAUAGGCCAUGUACACCUGCAAACGCGUCGGCGUCUGUCAUCAAUAGCACGCAGACUGUCUUCAACGUUACGGCUGUAACAACAACAGAUGCGGGAACAUGGUCAUGUGACUUUGGAGUUAAUGAAGUUGAGACAUGUAACUUGACAGUUGCAAAGACACCAACAUGCAGCAUCACCAGUAAGGAGGACACUGAUGUACUUGCCCAGUAGCAGGAGCUGACACUCACAGUGGACAUACAAGACUACUACUGUUCCACAGCCCUCACCUUCUCACUCCAGACCGGGAAUGUGACAACACUGCUGAUGGAAGCUGACUCUGUAUCAAGUGUUAAUCACAACACUUAUUCAGUAACCCUGAAUGUGACGGACUCCCACCUGGGGGUUGUAAGACUGAUGUUUUGCUGUGACAACAGUCAAUGGAAGCUUACUUGCAAUGGUGUGACUGAUCUUGUUCCAAAGACCCCGACAUGCAACAUCACCAGUGACAAGGACACAGAGACGCUGACCCUGUAUGAGGACGUGACACUUACAGUGGACAUUGCUGCCUACUACGACAUACGAGGUUCCUACUGUUCUGUAGAUUCAAACUUCACACUACAGACCGGGGAUGUCACACAAUUACUGAAUGUUGCUGGAACCGGGGCUGAUCAUGAUCUUUCACCAAUAACGUUUAAUGUGACUAAAAUACACUUGAGUGGUGUAAGGCUUAUAUUCAACUGUCAUCACAAACACUGGAAUCUCACCUGCGAUGGUGUAACAGAACU